Molecule: ribosomal RNA, 440 nt
Filed under: uncultured bacterium
Lineage: Bacteria
Description: partial 16S ribosomal RNA
Rfam family: Bacterial small subunit ribosomal RNA
Source: RNAcentral
CCUACGUGAGUCAGCAGUGGGGAAUAUUGCACAAUGGGGGAAACCCUGAUGCAGCGACGCCGCGUGAGCGAAGAAGUAUUUCGGUAUGUAAAGCCCUAUCAGCAGGGAAGAAAAUGACGGUACCUGACUAAGAAGCUCCGGCUAAAUACGUGCCAGCAGCGGCGGUAAUACGUAUGGAGCAAGCGUUAUCCGGAGUUACUGGGUGUAAAGGGAGCGUAGGCGGGAAGGCAAGUCUGGUGUGAAAGGCCAGGGCACAAGCCUGAGACUGCAUUGGAAACUGUUUAACUGGAGUGUCGGAGAGGCAAGUGGAAUUCCUGGUGUAGCGGUGAAAUGCGUAGAUAUUAGGCGGAACACCAGUGGCGAAGGCGGCUUGCUGGACGAUGACUGACGCUGAGGCUCGAAAGCGUGGGGAGCAAACAGGAUUAGAUACCCCUGUAGUC